CCCCACUGACCCCCUUCUCCCUCUUUUCCAGGCUCCAGAGCCCCCCUGGCUGAGGACCCCUCCCACCUUUACCCAGGCUCCAGAGCCCCCCUGGCCGAGGACCCCUCCCACCUUUAACCACGGGCUGAGGGGGGGUUUGGGGGGGGGAGUUUUCCCCCUUUCCCCCCCCCUGCCAUCCCGGGGGUGGGUUUUUGGUUUCUCCCAGGAUUUUUGGCUGGAAGGAGGGGCCCCCCCUUGGCAAGGGCUGCCCGUGGGACCCCCCCCCCCUCGCAUGGCAGCCCCCCCUGAGCCCCCCCAGGGCUGGAUCCGAUCUGUAUAAAAUGCACUUUGUUCCGUUCCCCCCCCAAAACUGCAGCCCCCCCCCCAGCUAUAAAUAUGUAUGUACGACCCCUCCCCUGUAAAUACCCCUCCCCAGGAGCCCCCAAAACCCCCCCAGGACCCCCUGGGAGCCCCCCCAGGCCCCCCCCAGCCCGCCAAAAUCCCGGGUUUAUCCCGACACGGUGACAAUCGGGGACCCCGAGGGGGACUUGGGGGGGGUUGGGGGGGGUCAGAUGGGUGUUCCAACCCCCCCCCAUCCCAUAAUAACCCCCCCGGGGGUGUCUGAUAUAUAUAUUAUAUAUAAUAGAGCCGAGACCCAGCGGGUGUUGUUGGAAGGUGGAAAA
Long non-coding RNA from Chiroxiphia lanceolata (lance-tailed manakin), 662 nucleotides. RefSeq lists it as uncharacterized. NCBI's taxonomy places the organism in Eukaryota, Metazoa, Chordata, Aves, Passeriformes, Pipridae. The transcript has 2 exons. The record is from RefSeq and is a predicted model, not a curated record.